This 953-nucleotide ribosomal RNA is filed under the name uncultured bacterium. RNAcentral describes it as "bacterial SSU rRNA". It matches the Rfam family "Bacterial small subunit ribosomal RNA", at positions 525 to 1482 of the family's 1533-position model. The record is from RNAcentral.
ACNUAGGGUGCAAGNNNUNUCNGGAAUUNUGGGCGUAAANAGCUCGUAGGUGGUUCGAUACGUCGGAUGUGAAAAUCAGGGGCUCAACCCNGACCNGCNUCCGAUACGGUCGAGCUAGAGUUUGGUAGGGGAGACUGGAAUUCCUGGUGUAGCGGUGGAAUGCGCAGAUAUCAGGAGGAACACCGAUGGCGAAGGCAGGUCUCUGGGCCAAUACUGACACUGAGGAGCGAAAGCGUGGGGAGCGAACAGGAUUAGAUACCCUGGUAGUCCACGCCGUAAACGGUGGGCGCUAGUUGUGCGAACCUUCCACGGUUUGUGCGACGCAGCUAACGCAUUAAGCGCCCCGCCUGGGGAGUACGAUCGCAAGAUUAAAACUCAAAGGAAUUGACGGGGCCCCGCACAAGCAGCGGAGCAUGCGGCUUAAUUCGACGCAACGCGAAGAACCUUACCAAGGCUUGACAUAUACAGGAAUAUGGCAGAGAUGUCAUAGCCGCAAGGUCUGUAUACAGGUGGUGCAUGGUUGUCGUCAGCUCGUGUCGUGAGAUGUUGGGUUAAGUCCCGCAACGAGCGCAACCCUCGUUCUGUGUUGCCAGCAUUUAGUUGGGGACUCACAGGAGACUGCCGGGGUUAACUCGGAGGAAGGUGGGGAUGACGUCAAAUCAUCAUGCCCCUUAUGUCUUGGGCUGCACGCAUGCUACAAUGGCUGGUACAAACGGCUGCAAUACCGCAAGGUGGAGCGAAUCCGAGAAAGCCAGUCUCAGUUCGGAUUGGGGUCUGCAACUCGACCCCAUGAAGUCGGAGUUGCUAGUAAUCGUAGAUCAGCAACGCUAUGGUGAAUACGUUCCCGGGGCUUGUACACACCGCCCGUCACAUCACGAAAGUCGGUAACACCCAAAGUCAGUGGCCCAACCGCAAGGAGGGAGCUGCCAAAGGUGGGAUCGGUGAUUGGGAUG